UGUAGAAGGUUUGAACCUACACACCUCUUCAAAACUGAUAAUGAUCUCAUUUUGGAAGUCAAGACUUUAGUUCUAACUUGGGUUGAGGCUGCAGGUCAUAGGGUUCAUCAAAACUGCUCCUACACGGUUCUGUCUAAUUGGGAGGCAUUGUUUUUGUAAUUUCUCUUUGUUUGUAACGUAGCUUGGUUUUUUCUUUUCUUCUUCUGCCCCUGGUUUUUUCUUUUUCUUUUCUUCUUUUCCUCUUCUUUUAAUAAAUCCUCACUUUCAAUAAAAAAAAAAUACUUUUGUCAAUUUGAGCUCUAUGUUGGGGAAGACUUUCAUUCUGAUGCAGAUGCUUUGUGCGGAGGCUUGUGGUGGUAGUCCGUUUCCGGCGCUAAGCCAAAAUCCCAUGUACUGUGAUGUUGAGAAGAUGCUUCAUCGCUGCAUUUUCCUUCAAGAGCUUCCCUCGCCAUUGUGUUUGUUUAUUGAUAUCUUCCGUCUCGUGCAUAAAAAUAAAUAAAAAAUGAUAAUAAAAAUAAAACUUCUGCCUUUAUUGUGCGGUACGUAUAUCGAAAAUCCUUAAUGAAUAUAUUCAUUUCUGGACAUGAUAAGGUUUAAAGUCACUUCAUUCUGGUUUCGUUGUUUGUAUUGUGCGUUCAUCUCCGAACAGCCUGGUUUUGCGGUUUUUGUUGCAUGUCUACCAUCGCUUCGGUUAAGGCUUUCGCCAUUUUUAUAUUUCCCCGAAGGAGUUUUGAGUCUGUCUUUCUAUUUCGUUUUGUUCCCUUUAUGGUACUUGGUUUCUUUUGUGAAAAGACGAGGGUAACCAAAUAAACCACAAUGUUUUAUUU
Long non-coding RNA from Papaver somniferum (opium poppy), 827 nucleotides. RefSeq lists it as uncharacterized. NCBI's taxonomy places the organism in Eukaryota, Viridiplantae, Streptophyta, Magnoliopsida, Ranunculales, Papaveraceae. The transcript is spliced from 3 exons. The record is from RefSeq and is a predicted model, not a curated record.